Molecule: ribosomal RNA, 253 nt
Filed under: uncultured bacterium
Lineage: Bacteria
Description: partial 16S ribosomal RNA
Rfam family: Bacterial small subunit ribosomal RNA
Source: RNAcentral
UACGUAGGGUGCAAGCGUUGUCCGGAAUUAUUGGGCGUAAAGAGCUCGUAGGCGGUCUGUCGCGUCUGCUGUGAAAACUCAGGGCUUAACCCUGAGCUUGCAGUGGGUACGGGCAGACUAGAGUGCGGUAGGGGAGACUGGAAUUCCUGGUGUAGCGGUGAAAUGCGCAGAUAUCAGGAGGAACACCGGUGGCGAAGGCGGGUCUCUGGGCCGUAACUGACGCUCAUGUGCGAAAGCGUGGGGAGCAAACAGG